UACGUAGGGUGCAAGCGUUAAUCGGAAUUACUGGGCGUAAAGCGUGCGCAGGCGGCUUUGCAAGACAGAUGUGAAAUCCCCGGGCUUAACCUGGGAACUGCAUUUGUGACUGCAAGGCUAGAGUACGGUAGAGGGGGAUGGAAUUCCGCGUGUAGCAGUGAAAUGCGUAGAUAUCGGAGGAACACCAGUGGCGAAGGCGACUACCUGGCCUGUUAUUGACGCUGAGGCGCGAAAGCGUGGGGAGCAAACAGG
This 252-nucleotide ribosomal RNA is filed under the name uncultured bacterium. RNAcentral's name for it is "partial 16S ribosomal RNA". It matches the Rfam family "Bacterial small subunit ribosomal RNA", at positions 524 to 776 of the family's 1533-position model. The record is from RNAcentral.